Molecule: long non-coding RNA, 3028 nt
Organism: Harpia harpyja (harpy eagle)
Lineage: Eukaryota; Metazoa; Chordata; Aves; Accipitriformes; Accipitridae
Exons: 3
Source: RefSeq, a predicted model, not a curated record
UCUUCUGUGGUCCAAGGGCAACUUGCCUAACUGUAAUCUACAUGAAGUGCCUCCAUGUCCACUUCACAUACUUGCAAUCAAUGUUCUUCAAAUAUUACAUGGCCUACAGGCAGGUUACUGGAUUGAAAGAACAUGGAUUCUGUUUUGAGGACUUACUCCGACAGUGGAGAAUUGCUGUACGAGACAACUUUUGCUAUCAACUAUAGCCUGUUAUCCGUAGUCCCUGGAGUUAGUGUUUAUUCUUCAAUCCAUUUUAGAAGGAAAGCAGCUGAGAGACAUACCAAACACACUGUGCUAGAGCUGAAGAUAAAGUACGGAUGGUUUGUAUGAUAGAUCUACCUCAUGGCCAUUGCCAUACUACUUUCAUAGCAAAUGUACCAGAUCUGUAUGCUUGAGUAGGUGCUUUGUACCCAUGGUAACAUAAUUCUACCUCUUAGCUUCUGCUGCACGAAGCUGCACUCGGUAAGAAUUCUAUUCUGCAAAUUCAUACAGAAAUGAUCCUAAAUGCCAGUUGUGUUCUCCAUGCAUUGGUAAGAAGGGAUUUAAUUUGUUCCACAGUUAACAUGACAAAUACCAAGCCAUGAGCUGUUGUUCCUUUAGGAAUUAAAUGACAACGACCAUGAAGGCACUUCUCAAGAAGGUGGAAGCCUCAGUUGAAGAGAGUUCAAAGCUACAAAUACUUUAACUCUGCUUAUAAUGCAGAUGAAACCUGUGUGCAGAUGAACGCUGGGAUGUUUCUGCAAACUGGCCAGAGUUGCUGGUGGUGUACGGCAAGGAUCUGCAGUAUUUGCACUGAUGGAACGUGCAGGUGAUGUAGUGCCCUCAGAUACAGGGGACAGAUUGUCAAAAUUGUAUUCAAAGCAACAUGCAUGCAAAAGACCAGGAAAACAUGCAGCAAUAAAAACCCUAGCGAUUUACAACCAUUUCAAACUCAGUUUAUAGCAUUUCCAAUGAAUAAAAACAGCUCUUGCCAACUGCCACCUAAAUACCUCUUCAUCUAUACCAUUUCAUGUAUGCAGACUGGAUUUACGGGAGUUCUUUUUUGCAGUGAGUUGCAGUGCUGAACAGAAGCCAAGGCAGGAAGUGAUUAUGGCUAAGGAGCUGAUGCUGAUUGAAAACGUGUGAUGCUGCAGAGGAAGUAUCACACAAUAGAACCUCAGUUAGUUUGGAAAUAGAUUUCAAAAACAGGGCACAUUAAGAUGUAAACAGUCAAUAGGACUGGGGCCCAACUUUCUUCUAACAAUCAGAUCAUUAGCAGUAGGAGUGUGCAGAAUGAUUUCCAUGAUUAAACUGCAGGCACAAAAUGUGUGAAAGUGCAUGCUCAUCAAUGCCGAACGGAAACAGCCUUCUUGCUUUUUGCUGUGUUUUUUCUACUGCUUGUCCUGACUCAUCCUGGGUACAAGAGUCAGGCGUAAGUGCAGCUUAAAUCUAGGAAGUGUAAAUGUUCAAGGUCUUUGAAAAGGCAGGAUUAAGAUUCUUUUGUGUAACUAUAAUGGGGUAGGAUUGCUCUCUGGAAUUGCACUUCUGGCUUUCAAGACUGCUUCCCUGAAAAGUCAUCAGCUCACAUUCAAUUAAAAUUGUUGGGAUCUGAGUGGAAACAGUCUCUGAGAAAUGGAACAGAAUUCAAAUAUUUGGUAGAGUUAGCUCUUGUUAUAAUUUAAGGGGUGAUUGUUAUGUGGGUGAAGGGGACAGCUCCCUGUUUUAUCUAGAGACUAGUUUAACAAACAUCUUGCAUAGUUUAUAACAUCCAUCAAGUAAUUCUGAGUUUUAUGCUCCAAGUUUUGAUUCCACCAUUUUUCAGAAGUCCAGCCAGUGCAGAAAGCAGUAAGAAAGACAAACUUAAAUCAGAGUCAUACCAUUUUAUCUCUGGAUAAGACAUGUAUGAUGCUCUGCAACUGCAUUGUGUGUGUUAGUAGUUUUGGGUUUGGUUCUAAUUAUGCUUUUUCUGAGUUUCAACAGCAAAGCGCAGAUGUGGGCAGAAUUGCCUUUAGCUGAAAUGGAGGUGCCAGGCUACCCUACUGCUAAUGCCACACUUCCAACACACAGAUGUACCCAGAGCAAUGCCCUUCAUCAUCUUGGGCCUUUAAGCAGCUGAACAUUAUUCAUGAAAGCACUGAAGUUUCCAUGCAGCCUGCCAUGGACCACCUGAGCCUUAGUAACUUAAUUGAGGAACUUCUAAGGUGACAAAGGUUCUACUGGAGCACCAAGAAAGGCUUAAUCAGUGAAGAUAAUCUAGACAUAAGGAAAUACAGAUAACAAGAAGAAAAUUAACUCUACCCCAGCCAAAACCAGCACAAUCUGUUCUAGAAUUUAAAAGAAAGCAGUGAGCAAACAGCAAUGAUAACAGACACUGAUACAAGGAAAGAUUGGGACAGCCACAGAGUGUAAACUGACACCAGCAAAAAGUUCUUGCCAAUUACUUCAGGUUUUAUGGGUAAGUAACAGGUAUGAGUGACACAGUGGUGAGAAACCUGACCCAUGUGCGCAUUGGAAGGUGUCGAGGCACUGAGGAGUUAAGGGUUGGGUUAUGUGACAAAAGCUCUUCUGCUUGCCCCCCACAAAGGAGGUAGAGAGACCAUGGUAGUGGUGAUGGACAUUGGAAUAAUACCCUGCUCCAGCUGCACCCCAGCCCAUCACAGGAGCCAUCAGCCCAUCAAAGGCCCAUCUGCACCAGCCUAGGGGAGCAGAGAGGCCCAAGGGUGGGUAGGAACCCAAAUUAGGGACUCAGAGGAAGGGACUUGCUGUCCAGGCCCCUCCCCAGGCUGUCCCAGGAGAGCCUCAGCCCCACAGUCAAGGUAUGAAACCAUCAAGAUGAGUCAAGAUGAGCUCAGCUACAGGGCAGGCUGAGUGUGCUCAGCUGCUGGAGGGAUCCACACUGUACAUACCUAUAUCAGGGUAUCUAUGUCUACAGGCAUACCUAUAUGCAUGUAUGUAUCUUUGUAUCUGUAGCUAUACAUAUCUUUGUACCAUCCCAUCCCCAUCAGGCUACUGGAUUUGGCAACUUGCUGCCAGUAAGUACUGAGUAGCU